GAUGAACGCUGGCGGCGUGCCUAAUACAUGCAAGUCGAGCGAACGGACGAGAAGCUUGCUUCUCUGAUGUUAGCGGCGGACGGGUGAGUAACACGUGGAUAACCUACCUAUAAGACUGGGAUAACUUCGGGAAACCGUAGCUAAUACCGGAUAAUAUUUUGAACCGCAUGGUUCAAAAGUGAAAGACGGUCUUGCUGUCACUUAUAGAUGGAUCCGCGCUGCAUUAGCUAGUUGGUAAGGUAACGGCUUACCAAGGCAACGAUGCAUAGCCGACCUGAGAGGGUGAUCGGCCACACUGGAACUGAGACACGGUCCAGACUCCUACGGGAGGCAGCAGUAGGGAAUCUUCCGCAAUGGGCGAAAGCCUGACGGAGCAACGCCGCGUGAGUGAUGAAGGUCUUCGGAUCGUAAAACUCUGUUAUUAGGGAAGAACAUAUGUGUAAGUAACUGUGCACAUCUUGACGGUACCUAAUCAGAAAGCCACGGCUAAUUACGUGCCAGCAGCCGCGGUAAUACGUAGGUGGCAAGCGUUAUCCGGAAUUAUUGGGCGUAAAGCGCGCGUAGGCGGUUUUUUAAGUCUGAUGUGAAAGCCCACGGCUCAACCGUGGAGGGUCAUUGGAAACUGGAAAACUUGAGUGCAGAAGAGGAAAGUGGAAUUCCAUGUGUAGCGGUGAAAUGCGCAGAGAUAUGGAGGAACACCAGUGGCGAAGGCGACUUUCUGGUCUGUAACUGACGCUGAUGUGCGAAAGCGUGGGGAUCAAACAGGAUUAGAUACCCUGGUAGUCCACGCCGUAAACGAUGAGUGCUAAGUGUUAGGGGGUUUCCGCCCCUUAGUGCUGCAGCUAACGCAUUAAGCACUCCGCCUGGGGAGUACGACCGCAAGGUUGAAACUCAAAGGAAUUGACGGGGACCCGCACAAGCGGUGGAGCAUGUGGUUUAAUUCGAAGCAACGCGAAGAACCUUACCAAAUCUUGACAUCCUUUGACAACUCUAGAGAUAGAGCCUUCCCCUUCGGGGGACAAAGUGACAGGUGGUGCAUGGUAGUCGUCAGCUCGUGUCGUGAGAUGUUGGGUUAAGUCCCGCAACGAGCGCAACCCUUAAGCUUAGUUGCCAUCAUUAAGUUGGGCACUCUAAGUUGACUGCCGGUGACAAACCGGAGGAAGGUGGGGAUGACGUCAAAUCAUCAUGCCCCUUAUGAUUUGGGCUACACACGUGCUACAAUGGACAAUACAAAGGGCAGCGAAACCGCGAGGUCAAGCAAAUCCCAUAAAGUUGUUCUCAGUUCGGAUUGUAGUCUGCAACUCGACUACAUGAAGCUGGAAUCGCUAGUAAUCGUAGAUCAGCAUGCUACGGUGAAUACGUUCCCGGGUCU
Molecule: ribosomal RNA, 1372 nt
Filed under: uncultured bacterium
Lineage: Bacteria
Description: bacterial SSU rRNA
Rfam family: Bacterial small subunit ribosomal RNA
Source: RNAcentral